This 401-nucleotide ribosomal RNA is filed under the name uncultured bacterium. RNAcentral's name for it is "bacterial SSU rRNA". It matches the Rfam family "Bacterial small subunit ribosomal RNA", at positions 355 to 773 of the family's 1533-position model. The record is from RNAcentral.
UGGGGAAUUUUGCGCAAUGGGGGAAACCCUGACGCAGCAACGCCGCGUGGAGGAUGAAGUCUCUUGGGACGUAAACUCCUUUCGAUAGGGAAGAUAAUGACGGUACCUAUAGAAGAAGCCCCGGCUAACUUCGUGCCAGCAGCCGCGGUAAUACGAGGGGGGCAAGCGUUGUUCGGAAUUAUUGGGCGUAAAGGGUGCGUAGGCGGUUUGACAAGUCUCAUGUGAAAUCUUCGGGCUCAACUCGAAGUCUGCAUGGGAAACUGUCGGGCUUGAGUAUGGGAGAGGUGAGUGGAAUUUCCGGUGUAGCGGUGAAAUGCGUAGAUAUCGGAAGGAACACCUGUGGCGAAAGCGGCUCACUGGACCAUAACUGACGCUGAGGCACGAAAGCUAGGGGAGCAAAC